UACGGGAGGCAGCAGUGGGGAAUAUUGCACAAUGGGCGAAAGCCUGAUGCAGCGACGCCGCGUGAACGAAGAAGUAUUUCGGUAUGUAAAGUUCUAUCAGCAGGGAAGAAAAACGACGGUACCUGACUAAGAAGCUCCGGCUAAAUACGUGCCAGCAGCCGCGGUAAU
Molecule: ribosomal RNA, 168 nt
Filed under: uncultured rumen bacterium
Lineage: Bacteria
Description: partial 16S ribosomal RNA
Rfam family: Bacterial small subunit ribosomal RNA
Source: RNAcentral